CGAGGAACGCUGGCGGCGUGCCUAAUACAUGCAAGUCGAGCGGACAGAUGGGAGCUUGCUCCCUGAUGUUAGCGGCGGACGGGUGAGUAACACGUGGGUAACCUGCCUGUAAGACUGGGAUAACUCCGGGAAACCGGGGCUAAUACCGGAUGGUUGUUUGAACCGCAUGGUUCAAACAUAAAAGGUGGCUUCGGCUACCACUUACAGAUGGACCCGCGGCGCAUUAGCUAGUUGGUGAGGUAAUGGCUCACCAAGGCAACGAUGCGUAGCCGACCUGAGAGGGUGAUCGGCCACACUGGGACUGAGACACGGCCCAGACUCCUACGGGAGGCAGCAGUAGGGAAUCUUCCGCAAUGGACGAAAGUCUGACGGAGCAACGCCGCGUGAGUGAUGAAGGUUUUCGGAUCGUAAAGCUCUGUUGUUAGGGAAGAACAAGUACCGUUCGAAUAGGGCGGUACCUUGACGGUACCUAACCAGAAAGCCACGGCUAACUACGUGCCAGCAGCCGCGGUAAUACGUAGGUGGCAAGCGUUGUCCGGAAUUAUUGGGCGUAAAGGGCUCGCAGGCGGUUUCUUAAGUCUGAUGUGAAAGCCCCCGGCUCAACCGGGGAGGGUCAUUGGAAACUGGGGAACUUGAGUGCAGAAGAGGAGAGUGGAAUUCCACGUGUAGCGGUGAAAUGCGUAGAGAUGUGGAGGAACACCAGUGGCGAAGGCGACUCUCUGGUCUGUAACUGACGCUGAGGAGCGAAAGCGUGGGGAGCGAACAGGAUUAGAUACCCUGGUAGUCCACGCCGUAAACGAUGAGUGCUAAGUGUUAGGGGGUUUCCGCCCCUUAGUGCUG
Molecule: ribosomal RNA, 840 nt
Filed under: Bacillus subtilis
Lineage: Bacteria; Bacillati; Bacillota; Bacilli; Caryophanales; Bacillaceae
Description: bacterial SSU rRNA
Rfam family: Bacterial small subunit ribosomal RNA
Source: RNAcentral